This is a long non-coding RNA of Prionailurus viverrinus (fishing cat), 759 nucleotides long. RefSeq lists it as uncharacterized. The record is from RefSeq and is a predicted model, not a curated record. The transcript is spliced from 2 exons. Lineage: Eukaryota; Metazoa; Chordata; Mammalia; Carnivora; Felidae.
CCCCCCCCCCCACCCCCAUUCUUGCCCACUUAUGCCGAGGUUGCCAGUGGCAGCUGGGUCCGGCUGGGAAGUGUCGACCGGGGUCGCUCGGCGAAAGGAGCCUGCCCGGGCGUUCUAGGGGGCGCCGGGGAAACACCCCUUACGCCAGGCAAAUCCCUGGCCCCGCAGAGAAGACACCGCUCCCGGCUCCCCGCUCCGUCCUCUGCACCACCGCGGGCGAAGGGCCCCCGAUGCCGUGAGGUCCUGUCUAAGGCUUCCAACAAGAAUCUGCAACACUGAGUUCUGGGGGGGGUCACCUUUACUUUGCCAGAACCACACUUUCCAGGUAUAGAAGGACAGCUCGGAGGAGAACUGAAAACUAGACAGCAUUUUGUCUAAGCACCUGAUUUUCUCACAAGGAAACUGAGGUGUAGGCCUGUUAGAGCUCAGUAACUGGCUAGCUGAGGUCUUCAGGCUCUUGGCUCAGUGCCUUUUCCAUGGUCCCGAGCCGUCUCCUGGUCAAGUUGUGCUGCAGCAGCAUUGCUAGCUGUGUGAUCAGCUAACUCCUCGUGAAAAAGGAACUUGUGUGUCUCUCAGAAAGGUAUUUGUGAACACACUAAAAACGAAUGGAACUGUAUCUACUUUAAAAGGAUGUCGCAACGUGGUGAAUGCCCUAAAAACCACUGAGCUGUAUAUACUUUAAAAGGAUGAAUUUUAUAGUAUUUGAAUUGUAUCGCAAUGUAAAAAAUAACCUUCGUAGUAAAAAAGUUGAAAUAUGUA